GACGAACGCUGGCGGCGUGCUUAACACAUGCAAGUCGAACGUGAUUUUUGUGGAAAUUCUUUCGGGAAUGGAAAUGAAAUGAAAGUGGCGAACGGGUGAGUAACACGUGAGCAACCUACCUUACACAGGGGGAUAGCCGUUGGAAACGACGAUUAAUACCGCAUGAGACCACAGAAUCGCAUGAUAUAGGGGUCAAAGAUUUAUCGGUGUAAGAAGGGCUCGCGUCUGAUUAGCUAGUUGGAAGGGUAAAGGCCUACCAAGGCGACGAUCAGUAGCCGUUCUGAGAGGAUGAACGGCCACAUUGGAAAUGAGACACGGUCCAAACUCCUACGGGAGGCAGCAGUGGGGAAUAUUGCACAAUGGGGGGAACACUGAUGCAGCGACGCCGCGUGAGAGAAGAAGGUUUUCGAAUCGUAAAGCUCUGUCAUAUGAGAAGAUAAUGACGGUAUCAUAGGAGGAAGCCCCGGCUAAAUACGUG
This 478-nucleotide ribosomal RNA is filed under the name uncultured bacterium. RNAcentral's name for it is "partial 16S ribosomal RNA". It matches the Rfam family "Bacterial small subunit ribosomal RNA", at positions 28 to 507 of the family's 1533-position model. The record is from RNAcentral.